CAGAAUUGUUGAAGGGGUGAAAAACCGUCUGCUGCAGGGCUCUGGGAUUUAAAUGAAAGUCAAUAUUGAUCAGAACAGGAGGCGAUAGAGAGGAACACUAGGCCUGAAUCCUGAAUUGCAGGACAGGACACAGGCGUGGAGGAGCUCACUUGAAUGCUAGGCCCAGCUUCAGACUGUUCAAGAGAAGUGAGUCUUUGGCCGUUAUUUCAGAAAUAACACACAUCAGGUAUUCCAACCAACUGGGUGGAGCACAUCGGCAGAACUAUUGCUGAAUGUGAAUAUACCCAUAACUGGCAUUGUGAGAUCUUGGGACUGAGAAAGCUGAGACGGCAGGAGGAGCUCGUAAGGAGUCACUCUCUGCAAAAAGAAGUAAUACGUUACUCAGUAAUUCUGGGUAGAGUACUCUCUGCUAAAUUGGAGUUGGGUUCUGUCCUUUGUAAUGGAAAAAGUCCUGACUUACCACCUGAGGCUUGGUCUGAAUCAGAUGAACAUGGCAACAUGGCUCAAUAAAGCUAACACAUAUAGAACAUCUUCUGGGGAGCGAGCACAGAGCCAGGAACUUCCCCAAAUAUUCUCGCAGGGUGCAAGGGUGGCAGUGUGGUAUGGACUGACUGGACACUGGGAGGCCAACUGUGGAAGCUGAAGGCAAAAUUGUAAUGAUGCCCUGCCUGGUUGUGCUCAAAUUAAACCUCUGACUGGUUAA
This is a long non-coding RNA of Panthera uncia (snow leopard), 703 nucleotides long. RefSeq lists it as uncharacterized. NCBI's taxonomy places the organism in Eukaryota, Metazoa, Chordata, Mammalia, Carnivora, Felidae. The transcript is spliced from 3 exons. The record is from RefSeq and is a predicted model, not a curated record.